RNAcentral lists this ribosomal RNA (84 nucleotides) under Vibrio parahaemolyticus. RNAcentral describes it as "partial 16S ribosomal RNA". It matches the Rfam family "Bacterial small subunit ribosomal RNA", at positions 1 to 81 of the family's 1533-position model. The record is from RNAcentral. Lineage: Bacteria; Pseudomonadati; Pseudomonadota; Gammaproteobacteria; Vibrionales; Vibrionaceae.
CUUAAAUUGAAGAGUUUGAUCAUGGCUCAGAUUGAACGCUGGCGGCAGGCCUAACACAUGCAAGUCGAUCGGAAACGAGUUGUC